Long non-coding RNA from Chenopodium quinoa (quinoa), 1682 nucleotides. RefSeq lists it as uncharacterized. The transcript is spliced from 2 exons. The record is from RefSeq and is a predicted model, not a curated record. Lineage: Eukaryota; Viridiplantae; Streptophyta; Magnoliopsida; Caryophyllales; Amaranthaceae.
UUUUAUAAUAAUUCUAUACUUGUUUGAAUAAUUUUUCUUUUGAAAAGAUUUGACAAAAAUAAAAACAAGAAAAUCAUAAACCCAUAUUACCAUUUUAACUAAGUAAAUUACCCCUUUAUUUCUCAUCAUUCACAUUUUAAUUAAGGAAACUUGCUCCUUAUUUCCCCUCUCAAAACCUCCUAUAAACUUCUACUGCUUUCCCUUGCCUUCCCCUUCACUCACGACACUCAGACAAAAAAAAAAUAAAAAAUUUCGCUGCUUCCUCCCUCCACUACUACUGCCUCCCCUGCGCCGCUGCUGCCUCAGCCGGAACCCACCACCGGCGACCUCGCUACAGCCCCGUACCACCACAACCAGUUCCUUUCAUCUCCCUUCUCUUCUAUCUUCCUCCCUUUUCUUGUUUAAAUUCUUCAAAGCUUUAAUCUUUACAUGAAUUUUUCGUUGAUUAACAAUUAUUAUAGUUUGAUUAUGUUUUUGAGUUGUGAAAGAUUGCAAAUUUAACGAGUUUAUGAUAUGUUAAGCAUAUAAUUAAUUUUCAGAUUUCAUAAUUUGUGAAAUUAGGGUUUAAAACUUGAUUUUCAUGGUUUUAGGGCUUAAAAACGUGUUGCUAAAAUUAUUUAAUUUGAGCAUGAUUUUGUUGUGAUUUUGCUAUGACUAUGAUGAUUUUUAAUUCAACAGCAAGUUCUUAAUUUUUCGUAACUAAUUUCUGAAUUUCCGUUUGUAAAAUUUCUUAAUCACGUUUUAAUCGCAUUUUGACCGUAACUCGUCUGAUUUUCGAAAAAAAAUAGUGUUUUUCGUGUGUAAAUGAUGUUCUAAUCAAAACUCACUACCUAUGGUAGUGAGCACUGCGCUCUCGUGGCCAAAUUCAGCUUCUAAGUAUGGUUUUCGUGCAGUUUUUGAUUUUUUAUGGAAGGUUUAAUUGAGUUUUCAUGAAACUAAUUAAAUUAUAAUUAUAUAUUUCAAGUUUAGAUUGUUGUAGUCCUAUAUUCUACUAUUAAGCUAAAAUUUCAGAUUUUAAUCUUAACUUUAAAUAGCUUUAAGUCAUGGUUUUAUGAUGCGUUUUCAAGUUCUCAACAUACUAACAUACUAUAUAAUGAUGAUUUCGAAUGAAAAUGUUUAUGCAGUUGUUUAUAACUUUAAACUAAUUCUUCAGAUUAUAAUUCCACUUUAGAGUUGCUGAAAUUUCAUGCUACAAGCCAUAUUUUCAUGAUUUUAAUAUACAAGCUUGUAAUUGAACUUUGAAUUACUAGCUUUGGCUAUUGUGAGCAACUUAAAGACAUUAUUUCAAUGAUUUAAGUGAUUUUAAAAUAGUUUAGUAUUGCUGUAAUAUAUGUUGCUUGGGUAUUAAUUGAGCUAUUGUUGUUCUGUCUAGGAGAGGACUUCGUAGAGGGUGACUUCUAACCUUAAAGUGGCCAAUCAAUUUGUGUACUCAAGAUUCAUCACAGGUUUUUGCAUAAACUGUCUUGCAUCAGGGUGAUAGGAUUUGAGUGGAGAGUUGGUUAACCAGUUAGCUUAUUUCAUAACACAGAUUGAAUUUUAUUUUGGUGUUGGUUCCAUUACUUCCUAUUGUACUGGAUUUUGAAUAAGGGCCGUUAUGGUUCCAACUUGUAAGACUUUGAGUUUUGACUUCCAGUUUUGAAACUUAUAUUCUUUUUAAAACUAAGUUAGUUUUCUGCUGCUGA